AUUGAACGCUGGUGUCAGGCUUAACACAUGCAAGUCGAACGAGUGGCGGACGGGUGAGUAAUGCUUGGGAAUCUAGCUUAUGGAGGGGGAUAACUACGGGAAACUGUAGCUAAUACCGCAUACCAUAGGAUGAACCCAAGUGGUAUUAGCUAGUAGGUGGGGUAACGGCUCACCUAGGCGACGAUCCCGAGCUGGUCUGAGAGGAUGCACAGCCACACUGGAACUGAGACAUGGUCCAGACGCCUACGGGAGUCAGCAGGGGGGAAUAUUGCACAAGGGGCGCAAGUCUGAUGCAGCCAUGCCGCGUGUAUGAAGAAGGCCUUCGGGUUGUAAAGUACUUUCAGCGAGGAGGCGUUACUCGCAGAAGAAGCACCGGCUAACUCCGUGCCAGCCGCCGCGGUAAUUC
RNAcentral lists this ribosomal RNA (406 nucleotides) under uncultured bacterium. RNAcentral describes it as "partial 16S ribosomal RNA". It matches the Rfam family "Bacterial small subunit ribosomal RNA", at positions 30 to 526 of the family's 1533-position model. The record is from RNAcentral.